UCCUUGCUCACCUACCCCAUCUUCCCGAAUGAAGAACUAUCUGCCAUUGCCAAAAAGUUUGGCCAUACUGAGGAGGAGCUGCAGGUUGCAAACACGCUGCCGAACUCUACCAUUGCUGCCUACACGACGUUGCUUGUUCCACAGGGGACCUCAACUCCCGGUGGUAAUGCUGGGGGACCUGGCUCAGCUCCAGCUCCAUCUGCAGCUUCAAGAGCUUCCCAAGCCCACUGGCUGUACUCAGUCUCCUUGCUGGGAGUGCAAUCUUUGUUGCUGUUGUUGUUGUUCUACCAUGCUAAGUAAGAGAGAGUGCAGAGGUGAGAUUGUGUG
This 327-nucleotide long non-coding RNA is filed under the name Physcomitrium patens. RNAcentral describes it as "long non-coding RNA (PPAT_LNC005726)". Lineage: Eukaryota; Viridiplantae; Streptophyta; Bryopsida; Funariales; Funariaceae. The record is from RNAcentral.